GCAGCCAAGGCACCUCCAUCCCGCCGCCGUCUCCUCCCCUCGCCCUCGCCGGCGAACCGCCGCCGGUGAUUCUGAUCGAUCCAGUCAGAGGAACCGCCGCCGGACGGAGGGAACAACGCGAAGCAACCUCUUCUGAUUGAGUGGGGGAGAUGUGGCAUUUACGAGGUUUUAGGCCUGAUUGGAGUGCCGAUUGGUCUGCAAAUCUUUGAUAUUUCAUUUGGGGUUUGGUGAGUGUCUCUCAGCAGCUGUUGGUACCCGUUGGUAGGUUAUUUCGAGCAGAUCAUGUUGAAUGAUGUGGAGCAUGUUAUUGGCUGUAUCAAAGCAACACCUUUUAUCUUGCCAGGAAGGGGAGGUUGGACAAGGAAGUAUUGGUCGUUACAGUUGUCUUGUACAAGCCAAAACUAGGAAUCGUUUCUGGAGUCCCCACAUUCGCUGAAUUGGUCAGCAUCGCUGAAUCACUGAAUUGGUGAAUGGCGGAAAGUAACCUAUUCAUUCGUAUGACACACACCAGUCAUGCUGCGAGGUUAUCUAUUCAUUCGUUCAUCAUUAUGCCUCCUGGUAGGACUGAAUCACACCGUAGUUGCAGGGAGAGGCUGAGGCACUCCCUCCAGUCGGUGAAGGCGCGCGCCGUGGCUCCCCUCCUCUGAAGUCGUGUAGGAUACAUCUGGUGAUUGGUAUUAUUUUUUUAAUUCGUUUGCAGCUGAUUAUCACUCGAGGAGGGAACAGGGAAGCCAAGUACCCAGCGAGAGACAAUGCAGGAGGACUGGGGUGUUCCUUCCCGAGGAUAAUGACGCCCGGCACGGUAGGUGUCGGUGUUUAAUCUCCAAGUCUACCAAGUGAUAACUUAAGGUGGUGAGUUGCAGUAAGGUGUCGCCGAGAUCAGAAACUCGAAAGUGCAUGGAACACAAAGUUUAGACAAGUUCGGACCGUCGAGAGCGUAAUACACUACAUCCUGUGUGGUGGUUUGUAUUGCUUUAGAUGUUGAUCGGUUAAUCUUAUUUGGAGAGGGUCUCUACCCAUCCUUAUAUAA
This is a long non-coding RNA of Panicum hallii, 1030 nucleotides long. RefSeq lists it as uncharacterized. Lineage: Eukaryota; Viridiplantae; Streptophyta; Magnoliopsida; Poales; Poaceae. The transcript is spliced from 4 exons. The record is from RefSeq and is a predicted model, not a curated record.